ACCUGGAUGGCUUAGUUGGUUAGGCGUCUGACUUCGGCUCAGGUCAUGAUUUCACAGUUCAUGGGUUUGAGUCCCGUGUCAGGCU
RNAcentral lists this transfer RNA (85 nucleotides) under Felis catus (domestic cat). It matches the Rfam family "tRNA". From Rfam's summary of the family: Transfer RNA (tRNA) molecules are approximately 80 nucleotides in length. Their secondary structure includes four short double-helical elements and three loops (D, anti-codon, and T loops). Lineage: Eukaryota; Metazoa; Chordata; Mammalia; Carnivora; Felidae. The record is from Rfam by way of RNAcentral.